Molecule: long non-coding RNA, 543 nt
Organism: Eptesicus fuscus (big brown bat)
Lineage: Eukaryota; Metazoa; Chordata; Mammalia; Chiroptera; Vespertilionidae
Exons: 4
Source: RefSeq, a predicted model, not a curated record
UCUUAGUGGGCACACCUCCAAAACGUCCCUCAAGGGAAAGAGCAAUCGUGCACCUGCCACCUCAGAGGAAAUCAUCAGAUUACAGACAGCACAAGCCACAAAAGGUCUUCAUUCUUGAGAAGUGAGUGCCACGGGGCUGACUGAUCCCUUGAUGGCUGGCUGAACAGGCUGCACUCUAACACCGAAAGCCAGAGCCUGAAAAGCUGGGCUCUCCCCUCCAACACUCAUCACCUCUCAUGUGUGAAGGAAAGACUACCUUGACUCCAGUCCAUGAUGAAUGUGUGGCUUAAGGCACUACAGAUACCAACAGCAGCCUGCCAGAUGAAGCAGAAAAGCUGCAGGAAGCAGACAUUGUGAGAGAAAAGUGCGUGCAGAUCCCCUGAGGGUGGUGAACAGAGAAGAUCCUGUCCACAAUUGGUCUAACACCUGUGUGUUCUCUCUCAUAAAAGCCAAUCCCACGUUAAAUCUUAGACAAUGUAUAAUCAUUACAGCCCUUCUGGAACUCCCAAAUGCCAAGGCAUUUGUUCCACAAGACAGCCUGGA